ACUAUUUUAGUUUAAUAAAGAAUUUGUAACUUGUAAUUACAGGGUUAAGAUAGUG
RNAcentral lists this transfer RNA (55 nucleotides) under Kalicephalus indicus. RNAcentral's name for it is "tRNA-Thr". Lineage: Eukaryota; Metazoa; Nematoda; Chromadorea; Rhabditida; Diaphanocephalidae. The record is from RNAcentral.